UUGCUUCAGCAGCACAUACACUAAAAACUGGAAUAAUACAAGAAUAUUAGCAUGUCUUCUGCACAAGUAUUACAUGCAAAUUUGUGAAGCAUUCCAUAUUUUA
Small nuclear RNA from Chionomys nivalis (European snow vole), 103 nucleotides. The record is from RefSeq and is a predicted model, not a curated record. Lineage: Eukaryota; Metazoa; Chordata; Mammalia; Rodentia; Cricetidae.